AGUGAACGCUGGCGGUAGGCCUAACACAUGCAAGUCGAACGGCAGCACAGUAAGAGCUUGCUCUUACGGGUGGCGAGUGGCGGACGGGUGAGGAAUACAUCGGAAUCUACUUUUUCGUGGGGGAUAACGUAGGGAAACUUACGCUAAUACCGCAUACGACCUACGGGUGAAAGCAGGGGAUCUUCGGACCUUGCGCGAUUGAAUGAGCCGAUGUCGGAUUAGCUAGUUGGCGGGGUAAAGGCCCACCAAGGCGACGAUCCGUAGCUGGUCUGAGAGGAUGAUCAGCCACACUGGAACUGAGACACGGUCCAGACUCCUACGGGAGGCAGCAGUGGGGAAUAUUGGACAAUGGGCGCAAGCCUGAUCCAGCCAUACCGCGUGGGUGAAGGAGGCCUUCGGGUUGUAAAGCCCUUUUGUUGGGAAAGAAAAGCAGCAGGUUGAUACCCCGCUGUUCUGACGGUACCCAAAGAAUAAGCACCGGCUAACUUCGUG
This 492-nucleotide ribosomal RNA is filed under the name uncultured bacterium. RNAcentral describes it as "partial 16S ribosomal RNA". It matches the Rfam family "Bacterial small subunit ribosomal RNA", at positions 29 to 507 of the family's 1533-position model. The record is from RNAcentral.